RNAcentral lists this unclassified non-coding RNA (262 nucleotides) under plant metagenome. Its description in RNAcentral is "partial contains small subunit ribosomal RNA, internal transcribed spacer 1, and 5.8S ribosomal RNA". The record is from RNAcentral.
UCUCCGUUGGUGAACCAGCGGAGGGAUCAUUACCGAGUUUACAACUCCCAAACCAAAUGUGAACGUUACCAAACUGUUGCCUCGGCGGGAUCUCUGCCCCGGGUGCGUCGCAGCCCCGGACCACGGCGCCCGCCGGAGGACCAACCAAAACUCUUUAUGUAUACCCCCUCGCGGGUUUUUUUACAAUCUGAGCCUUCUCGGCGCCCCUCGUGGGCGUUUAGAAAUAGAAUCAAAACUUUCAACAACGGAUCUCUUGGUUCUG